CUUUUUCUUUUUCCAGUGAUGAGGUGCCGUAGCAGACCGGGCUUGCUUGUUCUGUUCUAUAUUUUCGGCGUCUACAACUUGACUUGUCUCUGGAGCCACAGUGGUACAACAGGCAGCUGGCCUAAGAGUGCGGCCUUUCGGAUGCUACUGUUACCCUGGAUUGCCGCUGAUAGCAUCAACAGCUUGACCGCGGACGAGUUUCGCAAUCUUCAAACUGUGCUGAAGGAAGCUGCUUUCAACAAGACUGUCAUCGUGACUCCUUUGAAUAAGGCUUGGGCAUCAAAACUGCUAUCCUACUUCCUGGCUAGCUUCCAAGACGGUGACGAUACGACCCGCCUUCUUCCGACGCUGCUGAUCUUCACGUUGGAUCCAUCUGCGCACAAGAAAUGCCUGGAAGCUCAUCCGCACUGCAUCCUCCUCGAGAGCAAUGGCGUGGACUUUUCAGCAGAGAAGCCGUACAUGACCCGGGACUACUUGAGAAUGACAAGGAAGAAAAUAUCGUUCCUGAGCAUUCUUCUACAGAUGGGAUACAACUUCAUCUUCUCGGAUGCAGACGUCUUGUGGCUGCGAAAUCCCUUCUCGAAUUUCUCUCCGGAAGCAGACAUGGAGCUGGCUUGCGAUUUUUUCAAUGGCAACGAGACGGACAUUCACAACCUGGACAACACGGGGUUGAUGCACGUGAGAUCCAAUAACCGGACGAUCGAGCUCUUCAGGUACUGGGACAGGCACGCUAAGUUCUACUACCACAUCCACGACCAGGAAGUCUUCGACAGGAUCAAGCUCCACGCAGAGUUCCAGGCCAUAGGAGCCAAGAUCCGGUUCAUGCCAACGGAGGUGUUCAGUGGGUUUUGCGAGCCAGCCAGCGACAUAGAAAGAGUUUGCACCAUUCACGCCAACUGCUGCCAGGGCCUCCGCUCCAAGCUUGCGGAUUUGCAGCUCGUCCAAGAGGACUGGAACCAUUUCAUGCGGACCAGGAACAGAGCAAAUCGGCCCAAGAGGUUUCGAGCUCCGAGGACAUGCCUCAAGGGAUGCUUCUCGGCCUUUACGUCGAAACCGUGCUACAGGUCUUGCUACAACAGACGUUUGAAUGUUUCUUCGAUGUCAACUUAAACUUGUUCGAUGGGACUAGGAAAACUUGUUUUCAUCAGAUUUUCAAUGAGUUCAUAGAUUUGCAGCUCAGCCGGGGAGUUGCAAAGUUAGCUCUGAAGUGUUUCUCUGUCAGGCCGACCGAGUUUUGAUCCAAUCGCUUGCAAAACUGCGAAGGGGAUGAAACGAACAGCAACUGGAUGCCCCGGGCACAUCCUGCAUCCAGCAGAGAAUGGGAUCAUCUCCCGAAAGGUUCCACGGUGCUCAUCAACAUCUGGCAAUCGGAAGAAAUCCAAAACACUGGCCUAACCCAGAAGACUUUCGUCCUGAACGCUUUCCAAGGAACUGUGUAGCUGGCUAAUGCCUCUUUCAGGAUUGCGUGCAUGUAAGGCAAGCCGGGGACAUCUGAAGGCCUUAAGAGGCGCUUGGUCCCAAUUGCGUCUUGGAUUUCUUCAUGCGGUUUUUGCAUGACCAAGGGGUUCUGAAUCACUUCUGCCAUCGCCCAGUACAACUCCCUUCAUGUUGUCAAUUCAGCUGCAACCAGAUCAAGAACUUUGCGUUUACUUACAGUGAGCAGGGCCAUGUCUGAGAGAUUAUUAUCAGCAGCGUCUUGCAGAGACAGAAGCACAUCCGUCCAGUCCUUGGGAAUGAAUUCCUGGCCCGAGGAUUCAAUCUCGAGUUUGCAAUUUUGGCAUCAGAUCGUCCCUUAUUCUCCGCACUCGGCGGUAUGAACUUCCCGUCUGCUUCUCAAUCAGGCUGAUCAAGUCCAAAUAGAACCUGGCAGAACACACCAGAGAUAAACUUACCUAUGAAUUCUCUGAGUUUGAUGACUUUGGAGGCGGUGGCAAGACGUCCAACAUCUUUGACCAUGAGCUCCAUUCCAGA
Molecule: RNA transcript, 1971 nt
Organism: Selaginella moellendorffii
Lineage: Eukaryota; Viridiplantae; Streptophyta; Lycopodiopsida; Selaginellales; Selaginellaceae
Exons: 4
Source: RefSeq, a predicted model, not a curated record